UUUAUCAGAUUCCACAAAGAUAAUCUGGAAUGGUUUGUUUCUGAUGUGUUCCAUUCACUGAUUCAUCGUCCUUUGGCGUCCCUAGAUCUGUUAGCGGCUCUGCUCGAUCCGCUACUUUAUUCUUGCCUUACCACUAUCCACAAGGUCAGAUCAUUGGAUAUUACCAUUUAAAGUGCUGUUUUGUUUCAUUUUCUGCUUGCUAGUCUAGUUGACGUGUUGGUUUGCACUAAAAGAUAAACAAAAAGUUGGGUCUAUGUUUUAUGAAAAACAGUAUGCUUCGAGUCUGAGCCUGAUGAUGCGCCGGAGCCAACAUAUCAAUAAGGUGGUAUUGGGCUUUAUUGGGUUUUUACCAAUUCGGCUGAAUUCUUUUCUUCUGCAUUUGUUCAUGGUGCAUAGUUACAUACACCCUCCAUCUGAGAGGAAUCUCUUGUAAGUUCUAGACGUAAUUAAUGGGUAACGGCACUUCUCGUGUUGUAGGCUGUUUUAUACCUUUCAAUGAGAAAAACGGGGUUGAUUUGGAGUUCUUAGACCCACUAGAUGAAGGAUUAGGCCAUUCCUUCUGUUAUGUUAGGCCGUCUAUUUUUGAAUCUCCUGCCAUUACCCCAUCAAACUCUGAAAGGUAUACUGUUGAUUCGAGCACCCUUGAUUCUGAGGCAUUAAGUGGAUCAUUUAGACAUGACAUGAUAGAUGAUCCCUCGGGGUUACACAGACUAAACAAGAGCGUCCCAGAAACUACAUUUAAAACCAUCUCAGGGGCUUCGGUCAGUGCCAAUGUUUCUACAGCUAGGACUGGUAACCAGAGUGCAUUGUUUGCCAGUGAUGUUCAAGAGCCUGCUGCAUCCUUUGAGAGCACAUCCUCAUUUUCUGCAAUACCUUUGCAGCCCGUACCUCAUUGCUCUGGACCAUUGAGUGGAUUCAUGUCUGGACCUCUUGAAAGAAGUUUUACUUCAGGCCCUUUGGAGAGGGGAGGGUUUUUCAUGUCUGGGCCAAUUGAGAAGGGUGUAAUGUCUGGUCCGCUUGAUGCUACUGAUAAGUCUAACUUCUCUGCACCCCUUGCACGAAUUGGUCAAAGACCAGGCCUUCAGCGUCUCAUGAGGAGCAUGAGUGGGCCGAUGAGGAGCACUUUCUCUGGCGCAUUCUCAAAACAUUCUGGGGGGCCUGGUUGGAUGCAACGCUUUUUCUUGAAUUCAGUGUCUCAAUUGGCCUGGCAUACUAAAGAGCCAAAGUUUCGGCCAGAUACCUCGCGAAGCUGUCUUGAAGGGGUGCCAUCCAAAGGUGAGUAUAGAUGUACUCAUGACUUGCAAUGGGCUCAUGGAAAGGCUGGUGAAGAUAGGGUUCAAGUUGUGCUUUCUGAAGAACAAGGAUGGUUGUUUAUUGGAAUAUAUGAUGGCUUUAGUGGACCGGAUGCACCAGAUUUUCUGAUGAGCCAUCUUUACCAAGCUAUAGACAGAGAACUGGAAGGACUGAUUUGGGAUUAUGAAGAUAAACCUCUUAAUGAUCAAUUAAAACCGGAACUCCUUAAGACUGGACAUACAAAAGUGGCUUCAGAGUCCAGCAAGGAGGAACAGUCGAAACCUCAUCUGAGUCAAGGAAUUUAUCAUAGUUCAGAGGAUUCAUGUAGGCCUGCAGUUGUCAAAGGUCAAUCUUCUAACUGUGAGAUAGUUGAGGAAAAUGAAGAACUUAGGAUGGGUGUUGAACCUAAUGGUGAAAAGUCCAGCAGCACAGGAACAGCACCGGUUUCUGUUCCAGCUGCAAACUUAACUGGUCAAGGCAGGAAAAGCACACGGCUUUAUGAACUACUUCAGAUGGAGCCUUGGGAUGGACGGGAUUCUUUGUUAGUCUCGGAGGUCAGGAAGCGAAGAGUGGUAUCAUGGGAUUGUCAAUUGGGUCAAGAAACCUCAGAUUCUAGCAAAACCUUACGUGAAGAUCAGGUAAGAUCUUGCUCAUUAAAUGCCGAAGGAGAUAGUUAUAACCAUCGGGGUGAAGAUCCUACCACUUCAGGUGAAGAUGUAGGGGUGAGGGAAUCUAUUAAUCAUGGUGUUAUACCUGCUCUUUAUGUUUCAAGGCAAAGACAGAAUACUAGAAAGUCAUUAAUUGGUUCAAAGAUUAGAAAAAUGUAUCAGAAGCAAAAAUCUUUACGGAAGAAACUUUUUCCGUGGAAUUAUGAUUGGCACAGAGAGGAGAUUGGUGUUGAAAAGAGAAUGGUGGAACCCUCUGGACCUAUUAGAAGAUGCAAAUCUGGUGUUAUUGAUCAUGAUUUGGUUUUAAGGGCGAUGGCUCGAGCUCUUGAAAGGACUGAAGAGGCUUACAUGGAAUUGGUGGAAAAGGCUCUUGACAAAAACCCGGAACUUGCAUUAAUGGGAUCAUGUGCUCUAGUGAUGUUAAUGAAGGAUCAAGAUGUGUAUGUCAUGAAUCUUGGGGAUAGCCGUGUGAUCUUGGCUCAAGAAAGACCACAUGACCAUUAUCCUAAUCCAAGUUUUUUAAAAGAUGACGCGAGGCAUCGGAAUAGAUCCAGAGAGUCAUUAGUGCAUAUGGAGCUGGACAGAAUAUCAGAGGAUUCUCCUAUGCAUAAUCAGAACAGUCACAUUAGCAAGAUAAAUAAAAAGCGGGAUAUUUCAUUAUGCAGAUUAAAGAUGAGAGCAGUUCAGCUUUCCAUUGAUCACAGCACAAGCAUGGAAAAGGAAGUUUUUAGAAUUAGGGUCGAACAUCCGGAUGACAACCAGGCUGUAUUCAAUGAUCGAGUGAAGGGGCAAUUGAAAGUAACUAGAGCGUUUGGUGCUGGGUUUCUGAAGAAGGUCGGUCAGUUGCUCUUGUAAAUUUAACCUAUCUGAAAAGCAGUUUCUUAGCUGCACACUAUUUCUUUGAAUGUUCCGCAGAAUUGCAUCUAUAAGAUGUAUAUUCUAUGUCGGUAUAUAUAUUUGCCUUGUCAUUGGGAGUAGAAAAUAGAAGAGGAAAUGCAACUAUGGAAACAUGAUGUAUAUGCUGAUUACUCUGGUUAUAUGGACGUGUACUAACUAGGAAUAAACCAAUAAUGCCUAUAGUUUUUAUAAGCAUGAUGGCCAAGUGAUACUUGUACUGGUUAUAAGCAUGAUGGUGGGUACUAAAGAAAAAGCUUGAUGGCAGGUGAGGUCAUGGGUUCAAAAUUUGUGAGGUGUGUGAGUUGGUUACCCAUUAAAAAAAAAAAGCCAAUAAUCCACUCGUAAUAAUGCUGGCAGAAAUUAAAGAUAUAUUGAGGAUUAAGCACAAGUUUUAAACAUGAGUUUUUUUAUAUCAAUGCCUUUUGUUUGUUUUGAUUCCUUGAUGUCUUGAAGUUAACCUGGUUAUAACAGUGGUCAAACCAUAUGUCAUUAUUAUUUGCAGUCUUGCCGUAGUUUAUGCUAAUCUAGUUGAACUUUGUCUGGGCAAUCUUAUGUUACCUUGAUCCUGUGUAUAAUAGGCAAUCUCAGAUAGAGUUCUCCAAGAUGGAUUUGCAACACAAUCAAGUCAUAAUGUCCUUUAAGGACUGUUAAGAGUAUAAUUAAAUGCUUAAUUUUAUAUUUUUCUAGUAGUUUAACAUGAUAUUAGAGCAAUGAUCUAUCUAAAGCUUGAAUCCUAGCUCCACUCUCUACUUAUUUACAUGUGUAAUUUAUACAAUGUAAUCAUGGAAACUUGGGGCUCUAGCUUUGACACUGUAAAUAUCUAUAAAUGGAGUAACUUUAAGAGAUGGAUCAUAUAAAGAUCACUCAUUUUUUGGAGUACACAUUAACUAGGAGACUUUAAACGGUGUGUUUGUCUUGAUUUAUGCUCUAUGUUAGACAGUUUACUAACAAGCUUCAAUUUGCUAUGUUUUAUCAUGAGUUACUUGGCUCGAAAUGCAUCUUAAGGCAGGCAUAAUAGGGGACCACAAUAGAGUUGAGAUCAUGUGACUUGAAGUGGUGAACUAAUCACCGUGCAUCCUUUCAUUUCCUCAGAAAGACCAACUUGUAAUGAAGCUCUGCUGGAGAUGUUUCGGAUUGAAUAUGUGGGAACUCUUCCUUAUGUCAGCUGCAUUCCUUCCCUUCUUCACCACCGACUUUCCUCAAGUGAUCAAUUCCUGGUACUCUCCUCUGAUGGAC
Carya illinoinensis is the source of this 4094-nucleotide RNA transcript. It is a transcript of the gene named protein phosphatase 2C 32-like, with no coding region annotated. The record is from RefSeq and is a predicted model, not a curated record. NCBI's taxonomy places the organism in Eukaryota, Viridiplantae, Streptophyta, Magnoliopsida, Fagales, Juglandaceae. The transcript is spliced from 3 exons.